This 487-nucleotide ribosomal RNA is filed under the name Halorubrum sp. AC 1. Its description in RNAcentral is "bacterial SSU rRNA". It matches the Rfam family "Archaeal small subunit ribosomal RNA", at positions 398 to 883 of the family's 1478-position model. Lineage: Archaea; Methanobacteriati; Methanobacteriota; Halobacteria; Halobacteriales; Haloferacaceae. The record is from RNAcentral.
GCGCCUGUGCUUUUCGGUACCCUAAGGCGGUACCAGAAUAAGGGCUGGGCAAGACCGGUGCCAGCCGCCGCGGUAAUACCGGCAGCCCAAGUGAUGGCCGAUCUUAUUGGGCCUAAAGCGUCCGUAGCUGGCCACGCAAGUCCAUCGGGAAAUCCACCUGCCCAACAGGUGGGCGCCCGGUAGAAACUGCAUGGCUUGGGACCGGAAGGCGCGACGGGUACGUCCGGGGUAGGAGUGAAAUCCCGUAAUCCUGGACGGACCGCCGAUGGCGAAAGCACGUCGCGAGAACGGAUCCGACAGUGAGGGACGAAAGCCAGGGUCUCGAACCGGAUUAGAUACCCGGGUAGUCCUGGCCGUAAACAAUGUCUGCUAGGUGUGGCUCCCACUACGAGUGGGUGCUGUGCCGCAGGGAAGCCGCUAAGCAGACCGCCUGGGAAGUACGUCCGCAAGGAUGAAACUUAAAGGAAUUGGCGGGGGGAGCACCACA